This 462-nucleotide ribosomal RNA is filed under the name uncultured bacterium. RNAcentral describes it as "partial 16S ribosomal RNA". It matches the Rfam family "Bacterial small subunit ribosomal RNA", at positions 28 to 507 of the family's 1533-position model. The record is from RNAcentral.
GACGAACGCUGGCGGCGUGCUUAACACAUGCAAGUCGAACGGAAAGGCCCUUCGGGGUCCUCGAGUGGCGAACGGGUGAGUAACACGUGGGUGAUCUGCCCUGCACUUUGGGAUAAGCCUGGGAAACUGGGUCUAAUACCGAAUAUGAUCAUCGGCUUCAUGGUCGGUGGUGGAAAGCUUUUGCGGUGUGGGAUGGGCCCGCGGCCUAUCAGCUUGUUGGUGGGGUAAUGGCCUACCAAGGCGACGACGGGUAGCCGGCCUGAGAGGGUGACCGGCCACACUGGGACUGAGAUACGGCCCAGACUCCUACGGGAGGCAGCAGUGGGGAAUAUUGCACAAUGGGCGCAAGCCUGAUGCAGCGACGCCGCGUGAGGGAUGACGGCCUUCGGGUUGUAAACCUCUUUCAGCACAGACGAAGCGCAAGUGACGGUAGGUGCAGAAGAAGGACCGGCCAACUACGUG